GGCAAGUAUAUAAAGAAAUUAUUAUGGAUAGUUAGCUAUAUAUUAAAGAAUAACUAGUAAAUCUAGUUUCUAAGAGAAAUCGAAUAAUAAACGAAGUGAAUUGAAAUAUCUUAGUAACUUUAGGAAAAGAAAUCAAACGAGAUUGUUAUUUGGUGCAAACUAAAUAACAAGAGCCUAUUAACAAAACUUGUUAAAGUAAAAUGGAUUAAAAUCUGUUUGAAUAUAGGGGAACCUUCCUCUAAGGCUAAAUAUGAUAUAUAAGCGAUAGUGAAAAGUACCGUGAGGUAAAAUUUGAAAUAGUAGUUUUAUAAGCAGCUCGAGUGAAAAUUUAAAUAAGUAAUAAGAGUGUACCUUUUGCAUAAUGGGUCAGCAAGUUAAUUUUAGAUGCAAGCAAUGAUUUCGUGCGCUUUGCGCAUGAAACUAGCUUAGAUAAACCAAUUAUGAGAAAAUGAAUAAGUAUCUAGAAUUAGACCCGAAGGCUAGUGAUCUUACCAUGGUCAGGGUUAUAAAAGCCCGAACGGGUUAUCGUUGUAUAGAUAUCCGAAGAACUGUGGUAAGUUAGUGAAAGACAAAACUGACUAGUAUAGCUGGUUUUCCGCGAAACCUAUAUGAGUAGGUAAUUUAACUAACAUCUUAGCAGGUACAGAACUGUGAUCUCGGACAAUAUCUUUUGAUUUUGUCAACAUCGGGGGGUUGUAGUGACUUUACCGGAGAGUAUUUGCACUCGGAAUGGCAAAGAUGAAUGUUGAAUAAUCGGACAUAGUGCGAUAAGGUUGUAUGUCUAAAGGGAAACAGCCCAGAACAAGAGUUAAGGUUCCAAAAUUAUUGUUGAGUGAAAUUAAGGAUGUUUUUUUUAAAAACAAUCAGGAAAUAGGCUUAGAAGCGGCCAUUUUUUGAAGACCUCGUAACAGAGCACUGAUUAAUUUAUUAAUUUAGAAAAAAACACCGAAAAUUUAACGGAUCUAAACAAUAUACCGAAACCUUGUACACAUAUUUAUAAUAUUAAUAUUGUAUAUGUGGGGUAGCGGAACAUUGGAUAAAUAUUAAUUAUUAUUUCUUCUAAGAAAUAAUAAGUAUGGAUUAUUAUUAAAAAUAUUUAUUUAUUAAAGAUAUUUAUGUAAUAUUAUUAUACCUAAAAGGUAUAAUGUUUAGAUGAAUAUAUAGAUAGAUUAAAUCUGUCUUUAUUAUUAAUAUAAUCCAUCGAUAUAAUCCAAGAGAGAAUGCUGACAUGAGUAACGAAAAAGGAAUAUCCUCGCCUUAAGCUUAUGGUAUUUUAUUUAAUUUUCGGUAUCUAAAAAUAUUAAUCAAAAGGUAAUUUUGAUGAUAUUUAUAUAUAAAUACUAAUAUAAUAAAAAACAAAACCUUUAACAAGUAAUAAAGGUUCUGGAAAAUUUUUUAUUAUAAGUGAAUAUAUAAUAUUUAUUUCUUGAGUAUUAUACAAUAUAGAUAUGUUAUAAUUUAUAUAAUUUUCUUGUUACAAGUUUUCAAGAUUGUAUAGAUUUUAUCAAUAUUGAAUAAAUUUCAUUCUUAUACUAUUGUAUAAGUAAGGUUUAUAUAUACCGUACCUAGAUACUAUCACAAGUAAGCAAGUAGAGAAUACAAAGGCGUUUGAGUGAACAAUCAUUAAGGAACUCGGCAAAUUGACUACCGUAACUUCGGGAUAAGGAGGGCCAUUAUGAUUAGUUUAACAUAUCUUAUGAUAUGAUUUAAUUAAACUAAUCAUAAGAGGAAACAUGAAAUAAUGUUGUACGACUGUUUAAUAAAAACACAGCACUCUGCAAAGAUAAAAUAUCAAAGUAUUGAGUGUGAUGUCUGCCCAAUGUCGGCUGGGUAACGGAUUUACCUUGGUUUUUAACUGAGGUUUUGAAGGAUACCCCGAUUAAUGGCGGCCUUACCUAUGAGGGUCCUAAGGUAGCGAAAUACCUUGGCCGUUAAAUGCGGUCCUGCAUGAAUGACUUAACGAUACAACAGCUGUCUCGAUGAUUGUCUCAGUGAAAUUGGAAUAGCAGUGCAGAUACUGUUUACCUCUAGAUAGACGAGAAGACCCUAUGCAGCUUUACUGUUACUAAUUGCAAGAGUGAAAAUUUAGGAUGAUUUCGAGUGUAUAAGGUAGUUGUUUGAUAACAAUGAAACACCUUUAUUCGUUUCCUACUAUAUGCUCUUGAGGAUUGGGAGGCAGUUUAUGCGGGGCACAGAUCCCACAAAAAGUACCUGGGUAUAUCCAAAGUUCAUUUUGUAAAUUUGUAAAUUUCUUUACAAAUAUUUUAAUUUGUUAUAAUUAUAUUCAUAAUUAUACAGUUAUUGUUAGAUUAAGUUCAAUAUUUAUUUUUUAUUUAAGUAAGAUUUUAACUAUAUGGUGAAUAGAUGUAUUUUAAACUUUACCCCUCCGGGAUAUUUAAAAGUUUUUUCUCAUAUUAAUAUUGUAUUUUAUCUUUAUUGAUAUGAUAAUUAAUUAUACUUUAAAAGUUUAAUGGCUAAAUCUUGCUUUACUGUUUGACCUACAAGUCUAUCAGUCGCGUAAGCGGGGCAUAUGAUCACAAGAUGCAUAAAGGAAAGGUCUUGGAUUAUAGAAAAAGUUACGCUAGGGAUUUAUAUCUGUGAGUCCUCCAAUAUUAAAAAAUAUUGGUAAU
Molecule: ribosomal RNA, 2630 nt
Filed under: Aspergillus bombycis
Lineage: Eukaryota; Fungi; Ascomycota; Eurotiomycetes; Eurotiales; Aspergillaceae
Description: Bacterial large subunit ribosomal RNA
Rfam family: Bacterial large subunit ribosomal RNA
Source: Rfam by way of RNAcentral